Molecule: ribosomal RNA, 301 nt
Filed under: uncultured bacterium
Lineage: Bacteria
Description: partial 16S ribosomal RNA
Rfam family: Bacterial small subunit ribosomal RNA
Source: RNAcentral
CAGCAGCCGCGGUAAUACGAAGGGGGCUAGCGUUGUUCGGAUUUACUGGGCGUAAAGGGCGCGUAGGCGGACUGAUAAGUCAGGGGUGAAAUCCCAAGGCUCAACCUUGGAACUGCCUUUGAUACUGUUUGUCUUGAGUUCGAGAGAGGUAAGUGGAACUGCGAGUGUAGAGGUGAAAUUCGUAGAUAUUCGCAAGAACACCGGUGGCGAAGGCGGCUCACUGGUCCGGAACUGACGCUGAGGCACGACAGCGUGGGGAGCAAACAGGAUUAGAUACCCCUGUAGUCCCUGUCUCUUAUAC